This 514-nucleotide ribosomal RNA is filed under the name uncultured bacterium. RNAcentral's name for it is "partial 16S ribosomal RNA". It matches the Rfam family "Bacterial small subunit ribosomal RNA", at positions 28 to 523 of the family's 1533-position model. The record is from RNAcentral.
GACGAACGCUGGCGGCGCGCCUAAUACAUGCAAGUCGAACGAGAGCGACUGGUGCUUGCACUGGUCAAUCUAGUGGCGAACGGGUGAGUAACACGUGGGUAACCUGCCCAUCAGAGGGGGAUAACAUCCGGAAACGGAUGCUAAAACCGCAUAGGUCUUCGAGCCGCAUGGCUUGAAGAGGAAAAGAGGCGCAAGCUUCUGCUGAUGGAUGGACCCGCGGUGCAUUAGCUAGUUGGUGAGGUAACGGCUCACCAAGGCCGUGAUGCAUAGCCGACCUGAGAGGGUGAUCGGCCACAUUGGGACUGAGACACGGCCCAAACUCCUACGGGAGGCAGCAGUAGGGAAUCUUCCGCAAUGGACGCAAGUCUGACGGAGCAACGCCGCGUGAGUGAAGAAGGUUUUCGGAUCGUAAAACUCUGUUGUUAGAGAAGAACAAGUGCUAGAGUAACUGUUAGCGCCUUGACGGUAUCUAACCAGAAAGCCACGGCUAACUACGUGCCAGCCGCCGCGGUAA